Non-coding RNA from Phascolarctos cinereus (koala), 1319 nucleotides. The record is from RefSeq and is a predicted model, not a curated record. NCBI's taxonomy places the organism in Eukaryota, Metazoa, Chordata, Mammalia, Diprotodontia, Phascolarctidae.
GGAAGAUCUGAGUUUAAAUUCAGCCUCAGUCACUCACUGGGUUCAGCCUUACAGCUGGAGCAAGCCUCAGCAAACUUGAGAGGUUUGUCUUCCAUAAACCCAGCCUCCACCUUCCGUGCCCUUCCUCUUGUCUUGGCAGACCCAGACAGAAGAGCUACUGCAGCAUCCGCCCUAGCCUGCCUUCACCAGGCAAUGUUCCAGACUCUAGCCCUUGCAUUUCCUUCCUGGUCUCUCCAGAAUGACUCUCAAUAAUUUCCUUGAAGAGUCAGACCAACUCCACCAAGCAGGAAGAGGCUCAUCAAAGUUUGACCUAAGAAACUCAUCCAGACUUUCAGCUAAAGCAUGGAGGGAUUGGACUGAGCAUCACUGCUGAAAGGAGGAGCCAGAUGGCUGGCUUACCUGGCCCCUGGAGGAAAGAAAAGAAGUGAUGAAGAGUGUGGAAGGCUUCUGCAAGUGGUGAUCACUUCAGAGCAGGCGCACAGUAUUCCUUGGGGGAAGAGGGGGGAAAACAUAGACAAUUUAAUUGGGUAAGGAAAAAAUCUUUUUUAAAAAAGUGGAGCAAAAAGUCUCUCCACCAAGUGAAGGAAUAACUUUAGUUCCUUGUGUCAACCCCAUUUGGGGAAUAGGAGAUCCCCCUCCCUAUUUAAAUAAGCCAUCCCCAGGGAAGAAGCCAAUCAGGAGGCAGGAAAGCUAAUGCCAGGCCCUUCCGUUCCCCUGGAACUCCCUGUAGCACUCCUGUUAAAGGGUCAGAGGCUCUUUUAAACUGUUGCUUUCUCCAUCCAACCUAGUGGGCUAAAGCUCCCCACCUCCCUGCGUCUCACCCUAAUGUCGGCCCCUCUGGUCAGUUAUUAACCUAACAACUACUAGGCACCCAUGGCAGCAGCUGUGGAAUUUCAAGGGGGAAAAUGCACGCUCCCCACCCCCACCCCAGCCCACCCUGCUCCUCAGAUCAGCUGCAAUAGGAACUGCCACAGGUGCCCCUGAAGAGUGGUCUCUGCCCUCCAGGGCAGUGAACCAAGGAGAGGUCCCUCCCUGCCCCUUCUUUGGGAUGGGACAGAGUGAGUGCCACAGGGUGGGCAGGCAUGGAUGGGCUGUGAUGUCCCUCUCAGGAUUUCGUUACACCCUCUUUUUCCCCAAAAUCCACCUUCGGUUCUUCUGAACUUCGUUAUUUGUCUCCAGGGCACCACUGUUCUUCCAGUCACCCGGGUUGGCAAUUUCUCACCUAUCCCAUAUAGCCAAUCAGUUAUCAGCUCUUGUCAUUUCUUCCUCAGCCAUAUCUCUUCCAUCUAUCUAUCUAUCUAUCUAUCUAUCUAUCUAUC